AAAAUCGUUUCAAGCUUCUAGGCUCUUCUAGCAUAACAAUUGCAAGCACAACCUCUUGUUGCAAGAUACACGAAGGACACACAUACUCAAUCCCAAGCCUUCAUUGAUAGCACAACCUAGACCAUGAUGGACCAAUACCACUCAGUUCAUCAGUGAGCAUCUUGUUGAGUGCAUAAAGGUCUCAUACCACUCAUUUCAUUAACCUAGAUAUGGGGUGUGUCUGAAGCAUAGAUCUUUUUGAUCACUGAGUGACAUGUUAUUGCCAUGGAUGAAUGUCCACUGUCACUCCCUGCAAAUUCACCUUCUGUACCAAAUGUACCAGCCCUUCAAUCCCAAUGUGAUUCUAUUGAGUUGGAAUGGUGAAGGAGAUUCAGACCUUGGUGAUAAGUUGAGGAUUGUAGAAGGGUUUUCUAAUGAUGAAGGAAUUCAAGGUCUAGAUUCCCUGAAUUUAACCAGUUUAUCCAACACACUAACGUGAAGAAUGUACAUCUAACAAAGGGACUCGUAUUUGCAUCACAUGCAGUCUUCAAGGAGGCACUAAAGGAGUGGUGUAGUAGAAAAGUGUAAUUAUUGAUUCGUUUGGUGUUAUUUUUGUGAAACAAUAUACCAUUUGUAAAAACUUACUGAUAUUUCAAUUCAUGGCAAAUUGGAAAA
Molecule: long non-coding RNA, 654 nt
Organism: Quercus lobata
Lineage: Eukaryota; Viridiplantae; Streptophyta; Magnoliopsida; Fagales; Fagaceae
Exons: 2
Source: RefSeq, a predicted model, not a curated record